Ictalurus punctatus (channel catfish) is the source of this 768-nucleotide long non-coding RNA. Lineage: Eukaryota; Metazoa; Chordata; Actinopteri; Siluriformes; Ictaluridae. The record is from Ensembl.
GUGUGUGUGUGUGUGAGUGUGUGUGAGUGUGUGUGUGAGUGUGUGUGUGAAUGUGUGUGAGUGUGUGUGAGUGUGUGUGUGUGUUUGUGAGUGUGUGUGAGUGUGUGUGAGUGAGUGAGUGUGUGUGUGUGAGUGUGUGUGAGUGUGUGUGAGUGUGAGUGUGUGUGAGUGUGUGUGAGUGUGUGUGAGUGUGUGUGAGUGUGUGUGAUGUUGUGUGUGAGUGUGUGUGAGUGUGUGUGAGUGUGUGUGAGUGUGAGUGUGUGUGUGUGAGUGUGUGUGUGUGAGUGUGUGUGAGUGUAGCUGAUUAUUUACAGUAGAUGAGGUGAUGCUCCAACAGAGGAAGCGUUAAUCUGUAGUGUAUGUGUUAUGAAAGUGCUGAGUGAGUGUGUGUGUGUGUGUGUGUGUGUGUGUGUGUGUGUGUUAUGAAAGUGAAGGGUAUGAACACGCCUCCGCUGAGCAUCACGUCAUCAAAUACAGAAACAUCUCUCAGUUCUCUCGACAUCUCAUUGUGUUCUACAGCAGUGAGAGUUCAGUGGAAGCACCAGAUCUGUAGAUCCAGAAGGUUCUUUAUCUCUGAGCUCAUGUGUUUAUUAUCGUGUUUCUGUAGAGCUUCUGCUUUCUCUUUCCCUUAAUUACACUGAGAAAUCUAAUCCAGGACGAGUCCGAGCAAUGAAAUCAGACUGAUUCAAUCAGGCAGUAAUUUAGUGCACAGUGGACACACACACACACACACACACACACACACACACACACACACACACACACACA